RNAcentral lists this long non-coding RNA (735 nucleotides) under Equus asinus (donkey). RNAcentral describes it as "lncRNA (ENSEASG00005033841.1)". The record is from RNAcentral. Lineage: Eukaryota; Metazoa; Chordata; Mammalia; Perissodactyla; Equidae.
UUGAAAUUGAAAUGAAGCAAUUCACAACUUACUCAUCUUAAAUCUCAUCUUUUUGGUUUGGGCCCAAGAUUCUAGUCUGUAACAAUCUCUUCUUGUCUCUGUUUCUAUUAACAAAGAUAUGUUUCCAAGAACUAGAUAUGUGCUCAGGCUGUCUCAGUUUAUGGGAGUUUAUUGUAAGGACAAAGAAAGCUUCUGCAGAGCCCCAGUGAAGGCAUUCUGAGCAGGGGAGAGGAGGUGAGCACAGCAGCUUCAGCGGGAGGACAGCCCUGGGGACUGGCUGCGGUAUACUCUCCAAACUUGUGGUGGAAUUAGCAGUCAUUCAGUUUCUCUUGUCACUCCGUCCAGCCUUUGAAGGACAACCCGGAAGGAGACUCAGAGGCUGGCUCUCUGAAGGGGUGGAGACACUCAUCUGUGGUCCCUGCGGUCAGCCUUCAGCAGUUUGAGUUGGGAGAGCUUUUUCGUUUCUGUAGAACUUGAAGGCUGCCGUUUGAAAUGGCACUGGAUCAAGUGUUCAUUGGCCACCACCUACUUCCGACAUGGAACACAACUGCUCGUCCAGUUGCAAGCACAGAAUGAAGGUGAAUCAGCUCAUGGAUGGCCUUCAGAAAUUCUGAGCUUGGUUUUAGACAUUGUAACAUAUAUUAAGACCAACAGGGCAAAAGAGGUCCUUUAAGUGUGAAAUUAAAGUAUUAUCCAAGGAUAGUCGUGUCUGUGGGAUCAAUAGUCUCCUGUUGU